RNAcentral lists this ribosomal RNA (399 nucleotides) under Triticum aestivum (bread wheat). Its description in RNAcentral is "partial small subunit ribosomal RNA". The record is from RNAcentral. Lineage: Eukaryota; Viridiplantae; Streptophyta; Magnoliopsida; Poales; Poaceae.
AUGAAUCCUAAUGUCCGCGUUACUCAUCCAUGUGCAGAGGGGAAUAGCAGGUUAUGCGUCUCGGUGAGAGACUACUACUGUUACAUGCUCCAGACACGGCCUGGGAUAUUCAAUCCCAUACUCUGUGGAGCACGAUUGCUCCAGCAAUGGGGGGUGGACAUGUACAUCAAGAUUGAGAGUUGUAGGUUGAAAUGGUACAGGAAGAACCAGACAAAGAUCCGUGCCGACCUGUAUAAAGGAGUUGUUGAUGCAAUUACAUCCGGGGAGACCCGGGCAAGCGCUGUUGGAGUAAGGAUAGUGCUCCCUGGAACGUACCCAGGUGGCGACCGCGACAUGAAGCGGAGGCAUAUGGAUGCCAGGGCAAUUGUCCAUACCUACGGGAAGCACCUGCAACCCUAA